This 501-nucleotide ribosomal RNA is filed under the name uncultured bacterium. RNAcentral's name for it is "partial 16S ribosomal RNA". It matches the Rfam family "Bacterial small subunit ribosomal RNA", at positions 30 to 523 of the family's 1533-position model. The record is from RNAcentral.
AUUGAACGCUGGCGGCAGGCUUAACACAUGCAAGUCGAGCGGGGGAAGGUAGCUUGCUACCGGACCUAGCGGCGGACGGGUGAGUAAUGCUUAGGAAUCUGCCUAUUAGUGGGGGACAACAUCUCGAAAGGGAUGCUACUACCGCAUACGUCCUACGGGAGACAGCAGGGGAUCUUCGGACCUUGCGCUAAUAGCUGAGCCUAAGUCGGAUUAGCUAGUUGGUGGGGUAAAGGCCUACCAAGGCGACGAUCUGUAGCGGGUCUGAGAGGAUGAUCCGCCACACUGGGACUGAGACACGGCCCAGACUCCUACGGGAGGCAGCAGUGGGGAAUAUUGGACAAUGGGGGGAACCCUGAUCCAGCCAUGCCGCGUGUGUGAAGAAGGCCUUAUGGUUGUAAAGCACUUUAAGCGAGGAGGAGGCUACUCUAGUUAAUACCUAGGGAUAGUGGACGUUACUCGCAGAAUAAGCACCGGCUAACUCUGUGCCAGCCGCCGCCGUAA